GCGCAUGUGGUGAAAUUGGUAGACACGCAAGAUUUAGGUUCUUGUGCCGAUGAGGCGUGGGGGUUCAAGUCCCUUCAUGCGCA
RNAcentral lists this transfer RNA (83 nucleotides) under Candidatus Ancillula hodotermitis. RNAcentral's name for it is "tRNA-Leu". It matches the Rfam family "tRNA". Rfam says of the family: Transfer RNA (tRNA) molecules are approximately 80 nucleotides in length. Lineage: Bacteria; Bacillati; Actinomycetota; Actinomycetes; Bifidobacteriales; Bifidobacteriaceae. The record is from RNAcentral.